CUGGCGGUAUGCUUAACACAUGCAAGUCGUACGAGAAUUUUUAAUUCUAGUGGCGGACGGGUGAGUAACACGUGAGAAUCUGCCCUUAGGAGAAGGAUAACAGCUGGAAACGGUUGCUAAUACUUCAUAUGCCGCAAGGUGAAAGAAUGUAUUCGCCUAAGGAGGAGCUCGCGUCUGAUUAGCUAGUUGGAGAGGUAAUGGCUCACCAAGGCGACGAUCAGUAGCUGGUUUGAGAGGACGAUCAGCCACACUGGGACUGAGACACGGCCCAGACUCCUACGGGAGGCAGCAGUGGGGAAUUUUCCGCAAUGGGCGAAAGCCUGACGGAGCAAUACCGCGUGAGGGAUGACAGCCUGUGGGUUGUAAACCUCUUUUCUCAAGGAAGAAGUUCUGACGGUACUUGAGGAAUAAGCAUCGGCUAACUCUGUGCCAGCAGCCGCGGUAAUACAGAGGAUGCAAGCGUUAUCCGGAAUCACUGGGCAUAAAGCGUCUGUAGGUGGUUCGGUAAGUCUGUUGUUAAAGACUAGGGCCUAACCCUAGAAAAGCAGUGGAAACUGCCAAACUUGAGUGUGGUAGAGGUAGAGGGAAUUCCUAGUGUAGCGGUGAAAUGCGUAGAUAUUAGGAAGAACACCAAUGGCGAAGGCACUCUACUGGGCCAUAACUGACACUGAGAGACGACAGCUAGGGGAGCAAAUGGGAUUAGAUACCCCAGUAGUCCUAGCCGUAAACGAUGGAUACUAGAUGUUGCACGUAUUAACCCGUGCAGUAUCGUAGCUAAGGCGUUAAGUAUCCCGCCUGGGAAGUACGCUCGCAAGAGUGAACUCAAAGGAAUUGACGGGGGCCC
This 844-nucleotide ribosomal RNA is filed under the name uncultured cyanobacterium. Its description in RNAcentral is "bacterial SSU rRNA". It matches the Rfam family "Bacterial small subunit ribosomal RNA", at positions 36 to 922 of the family's 1533-position model. The record is from RNAcentral. Lineage: Bacteria; Bacillati; Cyanobacteriota.